ACGCUCGACACCUACGUGAGGCAGCAGGUGGGGAAUAUUGGGCAAUGGGCGCAAGCCUGACCCAGCAACGCCGCGUGAAGGAAGAAGGCUUUCGGGUUGUAAACUUCUUUUAUUAAGGACGAAGCAAUGACGGUACUUAAUGAAUAAGCUCCGGCUAACUACGUGCAGCAGCCGCGGUAAUCUGAGCGGGCUGGCAAGGC
Molecule: ribosomal RNA, 200 nt
Filed under: uncultured bacterium
Lineage: Bacteria
Description: partial 16S ribosomal RNA
Rfam family: Bacterial small subunit ribosomal RNA
Source: RNAcentral